CCUACGGGCGGCAGCAGUGAGGAAUAUUGGUCAAUGGCCGGAAGGCUGAACCAGCCAUGCCGCGUGAAGGUUAGUGCCCUAUGGGCGUUAAACUUCUUUUGUGCGGGAGCAAUAAUGGUCACGUUUGGCCAGACGAGAGUUCCGUACGAAUAAGCAUCGGCUAACUCCGUGCCAGCAGCCGCGGUAAUACGGGGGAUGCAAGCGUUAUCCGGCUUUAUUGGGUUUAAAGGGUGCGUAGGCUGUGAGGUAAGUCAGCGGUGAAAUGCCUCCGCUCAACGGGGUGAAGUGCCAUUGAUACUGCCGUGCUGGAAUGCGGAUGCCGUGGGAGGAAUGUGUGGUGUAGCGGUGAAAUGCAUAGAUAUCACACAGAACACCGAUUGCGAAGGCAUCUCACGAAUCCGCGAUUGACGCUGAUGCACGAAAGCGUGGGUAUCAAACAGGAUUAGAUACCCUAGUAGUC
This 460-nucleotide ribosomal RNA is filed under the name uncultured bacterium. RNAcentral's name for it is "partial 16S ribosomal RNA". It matches the Rfam family "Bacterial small subunit ribosomal RNA", at positions 338 to 795 of the family's 1533-position model. The record is from RNAcentral.